RNAcentral lists this ribosomal RNA (483 nucleotides) under uncultured bacterium. RNAcentral describes it as "bacterial SSU rRNA". It matches the Rfam family "Bacterial small subunit ribosomal RNA", at positions 28 to 526 of the family's 1533-position model. The record is from RNAcentral.
GACGAACGCUGGCGGCGUGCUUAACACAUGCAAGUCGAACGGUAAGGCCCCUUCGGGGGUACACGAGUGGCGAACGGGUGAGUAACACGUGAGCAACCUGCCCUUGACUCUGGGAUAACAGUUGGAAACAGCUGCUAAUACCGGGUGUGACCACUUCCUGCAUGGGAUGGUGGUGGAAAGUUUUUCGGUCAAGGAUGGGCUCGCGGCCUAUCAGCUUGUUGGUGAGGUAAUGGCUCACCAAGGCUUCGACGGGUAGCCGGCCUGAGAGGGCGACCGGCCACACUGGGACUGAGAUACGGCCCAGACUCCUACGGGAGGCAGCAGUGGGGAAUAUUGCACAAUGGGCGGAAGCCUGAUGCAGCAACGCCGCGUGCGGGAUGACGGCCUUCGGGUUGUAAACCGCUUUCAGUAGGGACGAAGCUAACGUGACGGUACCUACAGAAGAAGGACCGGCCAACUACGUGCCAGCAGCCGCCGUAACAC